RNAcentral lists this unclassified non-coding RNA (346 nucleotides) under soil metagenome. Its description in RNAcentral is "partial contains 5.8S ribosomal RNA, internal transcribed spacer 2, and large subunit ribosomal RNA". The stretch from base 1 to 120 matches the Rfam family "5.8S ribosomal RNA", at positions 35 to 154 of the family's 154-position model. The record is from RNAcentral.
GAUGAAGAACGUAGCAAAAUGCGAUAAGUAAUGUGAAUUGCAGAAUUCAGUGAAUCAUCGAAUCUUUGAACGCACAUUGCGCCCGCCAGUAUUCUGGCGGGCAUGCCUGUUCGAGCGUCAUUUCAACCCUCAAGCCCUCGGGUUUGGUGUUGGGGAUCGGCGAGCCUUUCUGGCAAGCCGGCCCCGAAAUCUAGUGGCGGUCUCGCUGCAGCCUCCAUUGCGUAGUAGUAAAACCCUCGCAACUGGAACGCGGGGCGGCCAAGCCGUUAAACCCCCAACUUCUGAAUGUUGACCUCGGAUCAGGUAGGAAUACCCGCUGAACUUAAGCAUAUCAAUAAGCGGAGGA